CAAAUUAGAGCUUGUGAUUAAGUAUUCCAUUUACAUUGGAAAGAAAUUAAAUUUAAUUAAUUUGA
This 65-nucleotide transfer RNA is filed under the name Lethe titania. RNAcentral's name for it is "tRNA-Val". The record is from RNAcentral. Lineage: Eukaryota; Metazoa; Arthropoda; Insecta; Lepidoptera; Nymphalidae.